This 386-nucleotide ribosomal RNA is filed under the name uncultured Prevotella sp. RNAcentral's name for it is "bacterial SSU rRNA". It matches the Rfam family "Bacterial small subunit ribosomal RNA", at positions 355 to 738 of the family's 1533-position model. Lineage: Bacteria; Pseudomonadati; Bacteroidota; Bacteroidia; Bacteroidales; Prevotellaceae. The record is from RNAcentral.
UGAGGAAUAUUGGUCAAUGGGCGAGAGCCUGAACCAGCCAAGUAGCGUGCAGGACGACGGCCCUAUGGGUUGUAAACUGCUUUUAUAUGGGGAUAAAGUGAGUUACGUGUAGCUUAUUGCAGGUACCAUAUGAAUAAGGACCGGCUAAUUCCGUGCCAGCAGCCGCGGUAAUACGGAAGGUCCGGGCGUUAUCCGGAUUUAUUGGGUUUAAAGGGAGCGUAGGCCUGGUAUUAAGCGUGUUGUGAAAUGUAGGCGCCCAACGUCUGCACCGCAGCGCGAACUGGUGCCCUUGAGUACGCACGACGUUGGCGGAAUUCGCCGUGUAGCGGUGAAAUGCUUAGAUAUGGCGAAGAACUCCGAUUGCGAAGGCAGCUGACGGGAGCGCU